This 78-nucleotide transfer RNA is filed under the name Lasius spathepus. RNAcentral describes it as "tRNA-Val". The record is from RNAcentral. Lineage: Eukaryota; Metazoa; Arthropoda; Insecta; Hymenoptera; Formicidae.
AAAAUUUUAGUUUAUUAAAAAAUAUUUCAUUUACAAUGGAAAGAUUGAUGAUUUGUAAAUAUAUUUAUUAAAAUUUUA